This is a long non-coding RNA of Eucalyptus grandis, 137 nucleotides long. RefSeq lists it as uncharacterized. The record is from RefSeq and is a predicted model, not a curated record. NCBI's taxonomy places the organism in Eukaryota, Viridiplantae, Streptophyta, Magnoliopsida, Myrtales, Myrtaceae. The transcript has 3 exons.
GCAUUCUCUCGGGGUUACGAAAGUUUGGCUUUACCCGCAGUGCUGAUGGCAUAACAUAUAGGGAGUGGGCACCUGGAGCCAAGUGGGCGGCAUUGAUUGGAGAUUUUAACAAGUGGAAUCAAACGCAGAUGUUAUGA